Molecule: ribosomal RNA, 251 nt
Filed under: uncultured prokaryote
Description: partial 16S rRNA
Rfam family: Bacterial small subunit ribosomal RNA
Source: RNAcentral
ACGGAGGAUCCAAGCGUUAUCCGGAUUUAUUGGGUUUAAAGGGUGCGCAGGCGGAUCAAUAAGUCAGGGGUGAAAAAUUUCAGCUUAACUGGAAUCGUGCCUUUGAUACUGUUGGACUAGAGUAUAAUUGACGUGACUGGAAUGUGAUGUGUAGAGGUGACAUGUUUAGUAAAGUCGCCCAGCGCCAAAAGUGUGGACAAGUAACAAUAUUAUUGCCGACUCUAAUGCGCGUAAUCGUGGUGAUCCAAAAG